RNAcentral lists this transfer RNA (70 nucleotides) under Neomenia carinata. RNAcentral's name for it is "tRNA-Gln". The record is from RNAcentral. Lineage: Eukaryota; Metazoa; Mollusca; Solenogastres; Neomeniamorpha; Neomeniidae.
AAUUUAAGUUAAUAUAAACCUUAAGUUUUCAAAACUUACAAUAGAUUAAAAUCUAAUUUACAUAAAUGGC